This 1005-nucleotide long non-coding RNA is filed under the name Physcomitrium patens. Its description in RNAcentral is "long non-coding RNA (PPAT_LNC010212)". Lineage: Eukaryota; Viridiplantae; Streptophyta; Bryopsida; Funariales; Funariaceae. The record is from RNAcentral.
AUUUGGUUAGGAUUUGAUUUAGGAUUAGGGUUUGGUUUAGGAUUUAAGAUUUGGUUGGGUUUUGAUUUAGGAUUAGAGUUUGGUUUAUGGUUUAGGAUUUAGUUAGGAUUUGAUUUAGGAUUUAGGAUUUGAUUAGGGUUUGAUUUAGGAUUAGGAUUUAGUUUAGGAUUUAGGAUUUGGUUGGAUUUUGAUUUAGGAUUAGAGUUUGGUUUAUGGUUUAGGGUUUGGUUAGGAUUUGAUUUAGGAUUAGGAUUUGAUUAGAAUUUGAUUCAGAGUUAAGAUUUGGUUAGGGUUUGAUUUAAGAUUAGGAUUUGAUUUAGGAUUUGAUUUAGAGUUAGGAUUUGGUUAGGAUUUGGCUUAGGAUUUAGGGUUUGAUUUAGGAUAAGUUAGGAUUUGAUUUAGGAUUAGGAUUUAGUUUAAGAUUUAGGAUUUAGUUAUGGUUUGAUUUAAGAUUAGGAUUUAGUUUAAGAUUUAGGAUUUAGUUAUGGUUUGAUUUAGGAUUAGGAUUUGAUUAGAAUUUGAUUUAGGAUUUAGGAUUUGAUUUAAGAUUUAGGAUUUAUUUAUGAUUUGAUUUAGGAUUAGGAUUUAAUUAGGAUUUGAUUUAGGAUUUAGGAUUUGAUUUAGAAUUGAUUAGGAUUUGAUUUAGGAUUUUAUUUGAGUUUGUUUAAGAUUUAUGAUUUAGUUAAUUUUUGGCCUAAAGUUUGAUUGAAGUCCAAUACGAUUUUAACUAGGAUUAAGUUAAGAUUGAAUUGAGAUGUAUUUGAGAUAUAUUUGUGAUCAUUCUAAUAUUUCUUUAAGAUUUUUUUAUUGUCUCUUUGUAAUUCCUUUGAGGUUUCUUUGAAUUUGAUUAAAGCUUGCUUAGCAUUAUUAUGGUCUAAUUAUAAUUUAGUUAAUAUUCUAUUAGAAUUAGGAUUUUGUUGUUGCAAUUUCUAUUCUAUCUUCCACAGCCAUGUGCUCAAAGCAUUCUCAAGCAAGAUUUCAUGUAUUAUGACACUAAAGUCUAUG